GACGAACGCUGGCGGCGGGCUUAACACAUGCAAGUCGAACGGAAAGGCCCUGGUUCGGUGGGGUGCUCGGGUGGCGAACGGGUGAGUAACACGGGAGUAACCUGCCUGUGAGUAUGGUAAAACUUCAGGAGACUGGGGCUUAUACCGGAUAGGAGCUCCCGCUGCAAUGUGGGGGUUGGAAAGUUUCGGCUGUUGGGGAUGGACUCGCGGCUUAUCAGCUUGUUGGAGGGGUAGUGGGUUACCAAGGCUUUGACGGGUAGCCGGCCUGAGAGGGUGACCGGCCACAUUGGGACUGAGAUACGGCCCAGACUCCUACGGGAGGCAGCAGUGGGGAAUAUUGCACAAUGGGCGGAAGCCUGCUGCAGCAACGCCGCGUGCGGGAUGACGGCCUUCGGGUUGUAAACCGCUUUCGCCUGUGACGAAGCGUGAGUGACGGUAAUGGGUAAAGAAGCACCGGCUAACUACGUG
Molecule: ribosomal RNA, 468 nt
Filed under: uncultured bacterium
Lineage: Bacteria
Description: partial 16S ribosomal RNA
Rfam family: Bacterial small subunit ribosomal RNA
Source: RNAcentral